UAUGGAGGUGGAGUGUACUUGGGUGGUGGUGGGGAUUUAUAGUAGUAAGGUGUUGGUGGUGGUGGCGAUUUUACAGGAGGUGGUGGAGAAUUGUAGUAGUAAGGUGGAUGGGGGAUUGGAGAUGGAGGAGGAGGAGAUUUGUAAUAAUAAGGUGGUGGAGGAGAUGGUGAAGGUGGUGGAGGAGAUUUGUAAUAAUAUGGUGGCGGAGGAGACGGUGAAGGAGGUGGUGGGGAUUUAUAAUAAUAUGGUGGUGGAGGAGACGGUGAAGGAGGUGGUGGGGAUUUGUAAUAGUAUGGUGGGGCCUUGUGUUCAUAUGGUGGUGGAGGAGAUUUAUAGUAGUAAGGAGGUGGAGGUGAGGGAGAAGGUGGAGGAGGAGACUUGUAGUAGUAAGGUGGAGGAGGGGAGGGAGAGGGUGGUGGGGGAGAUUUGUAAUAGUAAGGAGGUGGAAGUGAUGGAGAGGGUGGUGGAGGAGACUUAUAGUAGUAUGGUGGAGGAGGGGAGGGUGAGGGUGGUGGGGGAGAUUUGUAGUAGUAAGGAGGUGGAGGUGAUGGAGAGGGCGGAGGCGGAGACUUGUAGUAGUAUGGUGGAGCCUUGUGCUCAUAUGGCGGGGGAGGAGACUUGUAAUAGUAAGGUGGGGGAGGGGAUGAAGAGGGUGGUGGGGGAGAUUUGUAGUAGUAAGGAGGUGGUGGGGAGGGAGAGGGUGGUGGAGGAGAUUUGUAGUAGUAUGGUGGAGGAGGGGAGGGUGAGGGUGGUGGGGGGGAUUUGUAGUAGUAAGGAGGUGGAGGGGAAGGAGAGGGUGGGGGAGGAGACUUGUAGUAGUAUGGUGGAGGAGGGGAAGGUGAGGGUGGUGGGGGAGAUUUGUAGUAGUAAGGAGGUGGAGGGGAGGGAGAGGGUGGAGGAGGAGACUUGUAGUAGUAUGGUGGAGGAGGGGAGGGUGAAGGUGGUGGGGGAGAUUUGUAGUAGUAAGGAGGUGGAGGUGAUGGAGAAGGUGGUGGAGGAGACUUGUAAUAGUAAGGUGGGGGAG
This 1024-nucleotide long non-coding RNA is filed under the name Cicer arietinum (chickpea). Its description in RNAcentral is "long non-coding RNA (CARI_LNC001102)". Lineage: Eukaryota; Viridiplantae; Streptophyta; Magnoliopsida; Fabales; Fabaceae. The record is from RNAcentral.